AUUGAACGCUGGCGGCAUGCCUUACACAUGCAAGUCGAACGGUAACAGGUCUUCGGAUGCUGACGAGUGGCGAACGGGUGAGUAAUACAUCGGAACGUGCCUAGUAGUGGGGGAUAACUACUCGAAAGAGUGGCUAAUACCGCAUGAGAUCUACGGAUGAAAGCAGGGGAUCGCAAGACCUUGUGCUACUAGAGCGGCCGAUGGCAGAUUAGGUAGUUGGUGGGAUAAAAGCUUACCAAGCCGACGAUCUGUAGCUGGUCUGAGAGGACGAUCGGCCACACUGGGGCUGAGACACGGCCCAGACUCCUACGGGAGGCAGCAGUGGGGAAUUUUGGACAAUGGGCGCAAGCCUGAUCCAGCAAUGCCGCGUGCAGGAUGAAGGCCUUCGUGUUGUAAACUGCUUUUGUACGGAACGAAAAGCCCUGGGUUAAUACCCUGGGGUCAUGACGGUACCGUAAGAAUAAGCACCGGCUAACUACGUGCCAGCCGCCGCAGUAA
This 498-nucleotide ribosomal RNA is filed under the name uncultured bacterium. Its description in RNAcentral is "partial 16S ribosomal RNA". It matches the Rfam family "Bacterial small subunit ribosomal RNA", at positions 30 to 523 of the family's 1533-position model. The record is from RNAcentral.